Ailuropoda melanoleuca (giant panda) is the source of this 355-nucleotide long non-coding RNA. RefSeq lists it as uncharacterized. Lineage: Eukaryota; Metazoa; Chordata; Mammalia; Carnivora; Ursidae. The transcript is spliced from 2 exons. The record is from RefSeq and is a predicted model, not a curated record.
GAGAUCAUACCCUGAGCUGAAAUCAAGAGUCAGUCACUCAACCAACUGAGCCACCCAGAUAAGAAAACUGAGGCUUUCCCCAAAGUUUCCCCAAACUUUAAUUGUUCGUUGUCACCGUGAUCUCUGCUGUGUCCAGGUGCCCUUGUGAAGCAGCUUCAUGCCUGAUUCCAACCCAUUUGUCUGGUCUGUUUCCUUGUUCAUCUUCUGUGUUGCUGCUUUUUUUUUUUUCGUCUUUACUGAAAACAAUUAUUGGAAAAGAAAAUCCUACAUUCCUACCAUUAAAGGAGAACCAGUAUGACAUGUCAUAGGAAAAAGCAACUAUAAAAAUAACACCAAAAAAAAAAUAAAUAAAACA